Molecule: non-coding RNA, 21 nt
Filed under: Caenorhabditis elegans
Lineage: Eukaryota; Metazoa; Nematoda; Chromadorea; Rhabditida; Rhabditidae
Source: RNAcentral
UAGGAGAAACAAGUGUGUUGU